CUGAUGAACACAUCCCUUGGAACUGCUACUGUAUGAAAGCUGUAUCCUAGAGGUAGAGCACAUGGUAUGGAAUAUGGCUCCUGCAUUGCUCCUGAGUGCCAUUGGACAGGUCAUGAGAAGCAGACAAGUGAGUGGUGAGUCUGUAUUUCAACCCUUGCAAAGGAACCUUUCCCAAAGCUGUUGUCUCCUUGAUUUUUCCUACCAGCAUUUUUGCAACUGUAGCCAAGAAUCCUAGAAAGUGAAGUCUGUCUUGCUCUCAGCAGAGGACUGUGCUCCCUUGGCAGCAAAGUCAGUGGGAAGUUUUACACUGGCUCCAUCAAGGAGACACAUAUUUGAAGGAAUGCUGACAUUCACUGAAGAAUAAAGUUUUUUGGUUUUGUGGUGGCACUUGAAUAGAAGUAACAUUUGCAGAAAAUAACGCUUCUGAGGACAUUGAAUCAGCUCCAGAAAGCCUCAAGGUGCCAUGAUUUCUGUGAACCUGUUCUACUGUGCACUGAGGAUAGGUUCAGGGGAAUAUAGCACAGACUUUGCAUAGAUCAACAGAAAUCUACCGAGAGAAAAUUGGAAACUUGAGGGAAGGCAGGGUAAACCCUCAGAGGAACAACCAGCAGCCAACUACCCACCCAAAGGCUUUCCCAUUAAAGAAGAAGAAUUAAAAAAAAAAAAAAAAGCUGGUGUUGGUUGUGGAAUUUUUUUUCCUGUUGUGGAUCACUGUUUCUGUAUUUGACACUCCUGGCCUUGGCAUGUAUUUUUAAUUGCCUUGCUAUAGUCCACUGGCAUUUUAGGAUUGAGAACUCAAACAUCAGGUCAAUCAAGGCUCUUUGGUAACAAUGUGAACCACAUGGCAGAAGGAAUAUAGGUGCAGCAGUUUCAUCAGCUUUUAUUUGGGAAUGUGGGAAGCAUAUUAGGUAUGAAAUGGCUUUGCUGUUCAGGAAAGCAUUAAGUAAUAAAUAGCAAAGGAAAUAGGACUGGCUGAUUUUAACAUUGGUAUAGAUGCAAAACUGUUGAUGCUGUCUUAUUGCUACAGGGAGGUGUUAGCUGUCAGAUCCUAUUGAUUUCAGCUUAGAUGUCUUAAUUAGUCAAUCCUAUUGAUUUCGAUGAGGAUGUCAUGAAAAGUAAUUACUUUACAUUCAGCAUAGUCAUUUUUUCUAUUUUAGCAUCUUUUCUCCUUCAAAAAUCAGACUUCUUAAAUUGCUAAUAACACUAAUACCAAGAAGGCAGCCAGAUUAUUUGGUGUAAGACUCAAAACUAGACUCCCAAGACCACUUAUCAUCAUUUUGACAGUUUUUGAAACAGACCACCGGAGCUACACUCAAAACUGUCAAAAAAAAGUUGUGUUUCAAUACUGCUUCUUCCCCAAGGUCUGAUUACAGUUUGGUAUUCUUAACUUAUUGAAUUUUCCCUCAAGUAGUCUUUGUGCCUGAAAAUUGUUGAGCUGUUCCAUCGUAUUAGCAAGAAGUGCUUGUUCUAGCAGUGUACAGCAGGGACAACAAAGCUCAGAGAGUGCUAUGUCACCUCAUUCAUUUUUCCACACUUCUCACUUAUUUAUUUCAUGUCUGACAUCUUCUCUAUGUCUUUGCAUGAUCAAAGUCAGGAGAGCUAGUUUUUGGUGCACUAUGGAUCAAAGGCUAUUUUUAUCAAAAUGAUUGCAUUUGGCUAAAAUCAAUAUACAUAUUUUAUAACACCUUUCAGUUUAGUCUCAAGUGUUGUUUGGGUCAUGCUUUAAUUUAAAAUUAAUCACAUUUUACAGACAAAAGACCACAAGUAAAAGACUUAAUUUAUAGACUAAUACUAGCCACACUAGAAUGUGAAUAUAUUUAAACAAACUGGGAGAGAAGUUCUCCCGAACUAGGACAGCAGGAAAAAAGACUUUUACUUUUUUUAUUUAAAUAAUAAAUAAAGAAAAAUAUGCACACAUAAAUAAAUAUAUUAAAGCCAGCAAUCUUCAUGAAAUGAUCUUCAGGAAGUAUUUUUAAUGUACUUAAGUAGAGCACAAAAGUUUGACAACACAAUGGCCCUAUCCAUGUCAUUCUGACUAUCUUCCCAAGAAACACAAAGUUAACACAAACUUUUUGUUUUUGUCUUUUACUGAGCCUGCCCCAAAGCACUCUAACAAAGGCUGGUUGUCUCUAAGCAGUUUUCCAAUAUGAUAACCAAAAGCAGGUCCUGAGUUUUAGCUGAGAAGACUAUAUUAGGGUCUAGGAAUACUAGACCAUACUUCUACUUUUGGAAGAAGAACUGCACAGAGAUAUGAACAUAUUUAUGAACUAAAAGAAGAAACCUGAUGUAAUGACAUUCGACAACAAAAAACAGAGUCCAUAAUUCAACAACAUCUUGUCCAUUCCGAAACAGAUUUUUGCUCUCACAAUGUUGAGACUGGGCAAAGUAAUAGAGUAUAAAAUGGGCAGAGAAAAAUAGACAAAAUGUUUCCUGACAGACUGACUCACUGUAAGAGACCAUUCUCUGCGUAGACAUGAGGUUCCUUGGUUGUUGUCUCACCAGUUUUUGGAUCAUCGCUGAAAUAUUCUCCUCCUAUUAGUCCAGAAGCAGAACUGCUGAGCUGCAAGGCUGAUUCACACACUCUCCUUGCAAUGUUACCUGUUUGUUUUGAGGAGUAAAGGAUGAAACAGACUAAAAUGAUCCCUUGUAGUUUUUAUCUAGGACAUUGUGAUCUUGGGCAAAUGCCCUUCUUUCACAGAAAAAUAGUAUAGUUUUCCGAGUAAUUUAUACAACAGAAUUAGUUGAAGACAGUUCAUGGACUAAUUUCCAACACAAGAAGGGAAAGCUCCAUAUUAACACCUUCUUCAUUUAGAUUGGAUUCUUGUAGUUUAAGAGGAUAAUAUUUGGUUCAUGUAAUGGUACUGAAUGCAUAUCAAGGAUUUUGGGAAUCAUGUAGUUUACAGUAUCUGCAAAGAUUUUCACAAUGUAAAGCCUGUUGGAUUAGUUUUAUAUCAGGAGUAAUUGUCUGACUGUAUAAACCUGUGCCACAUCUUCUAUAAUAAACAGUGGUUUAUCAUAGAACUGAGAUUGCUUUCUUAAAGUAGAAAUUUUUAUAAAGUCACUGUUAAAGCAUCAUUUAAUUCAAUGUUUUAAUGGGAUGUUAUGUAAUUGUAUGGCUAUUUUAAUAUAAAUUAGAAAUUUCCUGACAUGGCAUAUUUUACUUGCCUCAACGUGUAUAUUUUCUUCUCAAAAUCAGGUGACUGUUUUUCAGACCUUCUGAGCAUCUGCUGCCUUCUGGGAUGGGUAGCACUGGAAGUACCAUUUCCUGAGUACCUCAAAAAUUAGGGGAAAAAAAACCCAAGGAAACAAACAAAUAUAAAACAACCCCAAGAAUAUCUAUGGGAAUUCAUUUCGGAGAGAAAUUUAAAGGAACUAGUUUUUUGUCUGGCAUUUCACAAUUUAAGAAUCUAUACAUUUAUUUUGUGAUACUUUCUCUGAAGGUCAUUUUUGAAUCUUGCUGUAUUUGUACACUAUUGCUGUAUCAGAUUUUUCUCCUGUGAGGUGUCAAAUCCUCCUUUCUCUUUGUGCCCUAAAUGUUCAGAUUUGACCCCAAAGUUGUGGAAACUGGCCAGGAAGUUCAAUGAUACAAUAAAGCAAUCUUUGGUGAA
This is a long non-coding RNA of Zonotrichia albicollis (white-throated sparrow), 3608 nucleotides long. RefSeq lists it as uncharacterized. NCBI's taxonomy places the organism in Eukaryota, Metazoa, Chordata, Aves, Passeriformes, Passerellidae. The record is from RefSeq and is a predicted model, not a curated record.